This 406-nucleotide ribosomal RNA is filed under the name uncultured bacterium. RNAcentral's name for it is "partial 16S ribosomal RNA". It matches the Rfam family "Bacterial small subunit ribosomal RNA", at positions 30 to 526 of the family's 1533-position model. The record is from RNAcentral.
AUUGAACGCUGGCGGCAGGCCUAACACAUGCAAGUCGAGCGAGCGGCGGACGGGUGAGUAAUGUCUGGGAAACUGUCUGAUGGAGAGGGAUAACUACUGGAAACGGUAGCUAAUACCGCAUACCAUCAGAUGUGCCCAGAUGGGAUUAGCUAGUUGGUGGGGUAACGGCUCACCUAGGCGACGAUCCCUAGCUGGUCUGUGAGGAUGACCAGCCACACGGGAACUGAGGCACGGUCCAGACUCCUACGGGAGGCAGCAGUGGGGAAUAUUGCACAAUGGGCGCAAGCCUGAUGCAGCCAUGCCGCGUGUAUGAAGAAGGCCUUCGGGUUGUAAAGCACUUUCAGCGGGGAGGCGUUACCCGCAGAAGAAGCACCGGCUAACUCCGUGCCAGCCGCCGCGGUAAUUC